UUUCCGUAGGUGAACCUGCGGAAGGAUCAUUAAUGAGUUGUCAUGGGGUUCGAUGCUGGCAGCCAGUUUUUGGAUGCAUGUGCUUGCCCUAACAAUCAUCUUCUUCCAAACACCUGUGCACAUUUUUGAGGGAGUCUUGAGUUGGUUGCCGCUCUUGGGUGAUUUUCUCACAUUCCCGUAAAUCAUUAUACGCUAUUAACAAUGUUGAACGUGCUCUGUGCCGCAAGGCCAUUAAUAUAAUACAACUUUUAACAACGGAUCUCUUGGCUCUC
This 272-nucleotide unclassified non-coding RNA is filed under the name plant metagenome. RNAcentral describes it as "partial contains small subunit ribosomal RNA, internal transcribed spacer 1, and 5.8S ribosomal RNA". The record is from RNAcentral.